RNAcentral lists this ribosomal RNA (403 nucleotides) under uncultured bacterium. Its description in RNAcentral is "bacterial SSU rRNA". It matches the Rfam family "Bacterial small subunit ribosomal RNA", at positions 356 to 773 of the family's 1533-position model. The record is from RNAcentral.
GGGGAAUAUUGGGCAAUGGGCGAAAGCCUGACCCAGCAACGCCGCGUGAGGGAAGAAGGUUUUCGGAUUGUAAACCUCUGUCCCAUGGGACGAAAAAAAUGACGGUACCAUGGGAGGAAGCCCCGGCUAACUACGUGCCAGCAGCCGCGGUAAUACGUAGGGGGCGAGCGUUGUCCGGAAUGACUGGGCGUAAAGGGCGCGUAGGCGGCUUUUUAAGUUUGGAGUGAAAGUCCUGCUUUCAAGGUGGGAAUUGCUUUGAAAACUGGAGAGCUUGAGUGCGGAAGAGGUAAGUGGAAUUCCCAGUGUAGCGGUGAAAUGCGUAGAGAUUGGGAGGAACACCAGUGGCGAAGGCGACUUACUGGGCCGUAACUGACGCUGAGGCGCGAAAGCGUGGGGAGCGAAC